This 447-nucleotide ribosomal RNA is filed under the name uncultured bacterium. RNAcentral's name for it is "bacterial SSU rRNA". It matches the Rfam family "Bacterial small subunit ribosomal RNA", at positions 355 to 825 of the family's 1533-position model. The record is from RNAcentral.
UCGGGAAUUUUGGGCAAUGGGCGAAAGCCUGACCCAGCAACGCCGCGUGAAGGAUGAAGUAUUUCGGUAUGUAAACUUCGUAAGAAUAGGAAGAAUAAAUGACGGUACUAUUUGUAAGGUCUGGCUAACUACGUGCCAGCAGCCGCGGUAAUACGUAGGGACCAAGCGUUGUUCGGAUUUACUGGGCGUAAAGGGCGCGUAGGCGGCAUGACAAGUCACUUGUGAAAUCUCUGGGCUUAACCCAGAACGGCCAAGUGAUACUGUCGCGCUAGAGUGCAGAAGGGGCAAUCGGAAUUCUUGGUGUAGCGGUGAAAUGCGUAGAUAUCAAGAGGAACACCUGAGGUGAAGACGGGUUGCUGGGCUGACACUGACGCUGAGGCGCGAAAGCCAGGGGAGCAAACGGGAUUAGAUACCCUAGUAGUCCCUGAGCGGGCUGGCAAGGCGCAU